AUUGAACGCUGGCGGCACGCCUAACACAUGCAAGUCGAGCGGCAGCGAGAGUAGUAGCAAUACUACUUGUCGGCGAGCGGCGGACGGGUGAGGAACACGUAGGAAUCUACCCAGAAGAGGGGGAUAACCAAGGGAAACUUUGGCUAAUACCGCAUAAUCUCGAGAGAGAAAAGCUGCCCGCAAGGGUGGCGCUUUUGGAGGAGCCUGCGUCCGAUUAGCUAGUUGGUAGGGGAAAGGCCUACCAAGGCGAUGAUCGGUAACUGGUCUGAGAGGACGACCAGUCACACUGGGACUGAGACACGGCCCAGACUCCUACGGGAGGCAGCAGUGGGGAAUAUUGGACAAUGGGGGCAACCCUGAUUCAGCGAUGCCGCGUGAGUGAAGAAGGCCUUCGGGUCGUAAAGCUCUUUAGGUUGGGAAGAAGGUUGUAGGGGUAAUAUCCUUGCAAUUUGACGGUACCGACAGAAUAAGCACCGGCAAACUCUGUGCCAGCAGCCGCGGUAA
Molecule: ribosomal RNA, 504 nt
Filed under: uncultured bacterium
Lineage: Bacteria
Description: partial 16S ribosomal RNA
Rfam family: Bacterial small subunit ribosomal RNA
Source: RNAcentral